AGUUGGUAGUCAGCACGAGCGCNACCCCUUUCCUUAGUUGCCAGCACAUAAUGGUGGGGACUCUAAGGAUACUGCCCGGGAUAACCGGGAGGAAGGUGGGGAUGAUGUCAAGUCAGUAUGUCCCUUAUGUCCAGGGCUACACACGUGUUACAAUGGCCGGUACAAUGGGUUGCCAAACCGCGAGGUGGAGCCAGUCCCAAAAAACCGGUCCCAGUUCAGAUUGGAGUCUGCAACUCGACUUCAUGAAGUCGGAAUCGCUAGUAAUCGCGUAUCAGCACGACGCGGUGAAUACGUUCCCGGGUCUUGUACACACCGCCCGUCACGCCAUGGAAGUCGGUAGUGCCCAAAGCAGGUGGCCUAACCUUCGGGAAGGAGCCUGUUAAGGUAAGACUGGUAACUGGGGCGAAGUCGUAACAAGGUAGCCGUACCGGAAGGUGCGGCUGGAACACCUCCUUU
RNAcentral lists this ribosomal RNA (456 nucleotides) under uncultured delta proteobacterium. Its description in RNAcentral is "bacterial SSU rRNA". It matches the Rfam family "Bacterial small subunit ribosomal RNA", at positions 1074 to 1533 of the family's 1533-position model. The record is from RNAcentral. Lineage: Bacteria; Deltaproteobacteria.